RNAcentral lists this ribosomal RNA (253 nucleotides) under uncultured bacterium. RNAcentral describes it as "partial 16S ribosomal RNA". It matches the Rfam family "Bacterial small subunit ribosomal RNA", at positions 524 to 776 of the family's 1533-position model. The record is from RNAcentral.
UACGUAGGUGGCAAGCGUUGUCCGGAAUUAUUGGGCGUAAAGCGCGCGCAGGCGGUUUCUUAAGUCUGAUGUGAAAGCCCACGGCUCAACCGUGGAGGGUCAUUGGAAACCGGGAAACUUGAGUACAGAAGAGGAGAGUGGAAUUCCACGUGUAGCGGUGAAAUGCGUAGAUAUGUGGAGGAACACCAGUGGCGAAGGCGACUCUCUGGUCUGUCACUGACGCUGAGGCGCGAAAGCGUGGGGAGCAAACAGG